CUCUUCCCAGACACUGUCCUCUCCAGCCUUGUGACUUGUGUCCAUAGCAUCUCUCCAGCCUCAACCUCCCCACUCCCCAGCCCCCUUCCCCAGCCCUCUCCCCGGGGUGCCCUCCCCUGCCCCAGGGCUCAAAGCCCCACUUUUAUCCCUGGGGCAUUUUUCAGAUCCCCUUUGUUACCUGAACAAUAAGUAACCCAGGUAGUUAGUUAUAAACUCUACAGGAACAAGGAGCUGGUUGAUAAUUUAUAGCAACAUCUCAAAUUUAAAUGGAAAGUAAAUAGCAUGCUGUUAGCAUUAAAGAAAACCCAGCCUCCUCCCUGCCUGGCCGCCUCACUCUCUCCCCUGCCCCUUCUCCCCGCUGGGUCUGAGCCCCUCUCCCCCGGGGCUCCCUGCCUGCCCGGCUUCUCCUCCCUCGCUGUCCAUCUUCUCCUCUUCCUCUCUCUUCCUCCCGCUCCCCUCAGUCUCCGCCUCGGCCUCCAGGUCUCUGCCAGUCCCCAGGAGCACUUUGACCUCUGCUCCCCCUCUCGAAUGCUGAAGACCAAGCCUCCCCCAUCCCACCACCCCACCAAAGGGGCCCCACCCAACCAGCCAAAAGCCUGACAGCAUUCCUCAAGGGAGAGCACCCCAAGCCCAGGAGCAGAGGACACACAUCAUUUCUUAGAAAAGCAGCGGUGCUGAGGGGCUACCCCUAAGCCACAAACUUUCUGAAGGAUAAGGGUACAGAUUUUUCAGGCAUCUGCGAGCUAGGAGCCAUCGGCUGGAAAAGUCAAACCAGGAGGGCAGAGAAGAAAGACUGGUUAACUAUGGUCCCCUCCAUGUCCAGGGUGCUCCAUGGAACCCUAGCCCAAAUUAACUUCAUUUUUGCACAGGAUUUCUUAGCUUCCUGUACCCUUGACACCUGUACCAUCCAGUACAGUAGCCGUCAGCCCCAUGUGACUGUUGAGGACUUGGAACAUGGCUGAUGCCCCUUGUGAAAUGACAGUAUUUUGGAUAUACUGGUUUAAUGUUUACAUUUCCAAAAUUACGCCAGGCGUGACAAGAUUGUAAUCCCAGGCCUGGCAACUGAGAAAAAGGGAUCAAAGGAGUUCAAGACCAUCCUAGACUGCAUAGCUACAUUGAACAGUACAUUGUAUUGUCUCAACAAUACAAAUCAAGCUAGACAAGGUGGCACAUGCCUAUAACUCCAGCACUUGGGAGGCUGAGGCAGGAGGAUCACCAUGAGUUCCAGGCCAGCCUGAACCAAGUAGUGAGACCCGUCUCAAAUUUAAAAAAAAGAAAAAAUCAAAGAAAUAAAAAAUUUAAAGUAGCUACAUGUGUUAGCACAGGCUUGUAAUCCCAGCUUCUCAGGAGGCUGAGGCAGAAGGAUGACAAGUUUUAGGCCAAACUGGACAAUUUAGCCAGACCCUAUCUCAAAAAAAUGGCUGGAGGGGUGGCUAGGGAUGUAGUUCAGUGGUAGAGUGCUGUUGGGUUCAACCCUCAGUACCACAUACACAAAAAAAUUUAACUUUAAAAUAAUUUCAAAUUAUAUUUAAUUUCAAUUUUAUUAUAGAUACAGUUUUAGGGGCCAAGGAUAUAGCUCAGUGGCACAAGUGCCUGCCUGGCAAGUGCAAGGUCCUGAGUUUGAUUCCUGGUACCAAAAUAUAUGUAUAGUUCUUUAAAUAAACUUAAAAUAAUUUUAAUUAAAUAUCUUCAUCUUUUUUUGUUUUAGUUUUGCAGUGCUGAGGAUGGAAUCCAGGGCCUUUCACACGAUAAGAAAGUGCUCUAUCACUGAACUACAUCCUCAGCCUUGUUUCUUUGUUUGUUUGCUUGUUUUUGAGACAAGAUCUGGCUAAAUUUCCUAGGCUGGACCCAAAUUUGCAACUCUCCUGCCUCAGCCUCCUGAGUAGCUGAGAUUACAGGUAUGCAUCACCAUGCCUACCUCUUUUUAUCUUUUAUACGAUGCUACUGGAAAUCUUUAAAUUACAUGUUAAUUUUACUUUGUAUCUAGGGGUGAAGCUCAAUAGUAGGACACUUGCCUAGCACACACAAUCUCCAGCACCACAAAAUAAUAAAUAAAAUUAUAUAUGUGGCUGACAGUAUUCGGCACUAUUACUCAAAGAUUUACUUAUGCAUUAUGUUGACUGUUUAUUACCUGGUAGAACAUUAGCCCUGCCAGGUGUGAGGUGCACACCUGUAAUCCCAGCACUCAGGAGGCUGAGGCAGGGGGAUCACCUAUGAGCUUGAGGCCAGCAUAGGCUAUAUGGUGAGUUCAAAGCCAGUUUGAACUGUACAGCAAGACCCUGUCUCAAAAGAAAAAAAAAAGAAAAAGAAAAACAUCAGCCGCACCGGGAAAGAGCUUUUUUCUGCCUUGUUCACUGCUACAUUCCCAGAAUCUAGUGCAUUGUCUCAUGUAUACAUAAUAGAUGCUCAAUAAAUAUCCAUUAAAUGGGUAGCUCUUUACAUUGCAACUCACCGAGUGUUGUGUUUUUUGUUUUGUUUGAGGGGAGCCGUGCUGGGAUGGGACCCGGUGUGCUAUGGUUCAAAUGUCUCCCUCAGAGGUCACACAUCUGAAACUUAAUGUCUGAAGCAACAGUGCUGGGUCCUGAGGCUUUGCAGAGCCGAUGGGUAGGUGUCUCCUCUGGAGUGGGUCAGCUGUCCAGAGAGCAGACCCCUCACAAAAGCUCCUUUGCCCUUUGCUCGCUUGAGCUCACCCUUUCUUGCCCUCCUGCCUUCUGCCUCGGACAGUACACUGAGAAUCCUCUCAGCCGGACGCCACCCCUCCUCCAAAAGCACAGACCAGAUACAUUUCUGCUUAUUGCAGACUCCCCACUCUCAGGGAUUCUGGAUAUAGCCGUCGGCAGGGACUGAGACACCAUGCACACCGGUUCUGCACCGCGCUGUAGUCCUGCACUGAAUUCUCAGAGCAGCUCUGGGUGAGGAUCUGCCACCGCCCCAGCCACAGGGGAUCAGACGGAGGCUUGGAGCAGCGAGAGGGCGGCCCAGUCCCUCAGAGCCACCUUCUUCCUCUCCACGCCCGCUCUCCCGGCCCCUGGUAACCACCCCUCUGCUCUGCUUCUGUGGGAUCGACUUUUCGUGAGGGGAAACAUGCAGCAUUUGUCUUUCUGCGCCUGGGUUCUCAUACCCUGUGCUCCAUCCAAGGAGGCAGCUUGCAUUCUUGACAGUCACUCAGGAUCUGGUCUGAAUUACACUGCCCGCCCCAGCCCACUGUCCCCGCUGGUGGCGGCCGCCAAGUGAGCUGCACGUCUUUCUUGGCUCGCUAGAAAAUGCAAGUAUGGAUCUCACGGGAUUGUGGGAAACAACUUUUUGUAAAGAGUGUGAUGCAGAGAUCCCAAACUUUCUAGGUUCAAGGCACUCUUAGCAUCUCAGUCAUUUUUCAUGGUGUCCCUAACCAUUCCACCACCAACCCCAAGAAAAGCGAACAGUAAGCCUGGCAUGGUGGUGUACACCCAUGAUCCCAGCACUCUGGGAGGCUGAGGCAGGAGGAUCACAAGUUCAAGUCUAUCCUGGGCAACUUAGUGACUUAGUGAUAUGGGGGGGAGGGUGUUGUAGAUGUAGCUCAGUGUGAAGGCCCUGGGUCCAAUCCCCAGUAUUACCACCACCACUCCCCAAAAAAGCAAGCAGUUAUUUAGUAAGUAGUCACAUCAACACAACUAGUAAGUAAGCGUACCCUAACAACUUAGUAGUUGCUUGAAAAGUAAUACACUUAAGUGGAAAGGGAAAAAAAGCUUUUUGGUUCAUUCUUAAAUACCUGAAAAUGUCCUAAAGGGAUACAUGUAACUGACAGGGAUCGACAUGACUUCUCAGCCAAGUGCCGUGAGGCACGUCUGUAAUCCCAGCACUCGGGAGGCUGAGGCAGGAGGAUAGUUUCGAGUUGGAGGCCAGCCUGAGCUACAAAGUGAGCUCAAGGUCGGCCUGAACUGCAUAGUGAGACCUUGUCUCAAAAAGCAAAAAAAAAAGAAAGAAA
Long non-coding RNA from Chinchilla lanigera (long-tailed chinchilla), 3964 nucleotides. The record is from Ensembl. Lineage: Eukaryota; Metazoa; Chordata; Mammalia; Rodentia; Chinchillidae.